RNAcentral lists this long non-coding RNA (3002 nucleotides) under Elaeis guineensis (African oil palm). Its description in RNAcentral is "long non-coding RNA (EGUI_LNC007305)". Lineage: Eukaryota; Viridiplantae; Streptophyta; Magnoliopsida; Arecales; Arecaceae. The record is from RNAcentral.
ACAUGGUAGGAACAUUGAGAUGGAUUUAGAAUAAAACCAACAAGAAUAGGAUAAAUGAUUGAUAAAUUAUUUUAAGAAAAGGAGGCACAUAGAUUGAAAAUAAAAUGGUGGAGAACCAAAAUUAGAUGGUACAUGAAGAGUUAAGAAAGCCUUGGCAGUAAAAUACUCAAUUUGUAUAGAACAGGUGCAGAGGAAGGGAAGUCUAAAAUCAUCUUUAUGGAAAUAGUGAUAGUGGAUAUAGAACAUGCGAUGAAUAAAAAAAUAAGCAUGCAGCAGCAUACAAAAGGAGGGGAAGUUUGUCACAUGGUAGGAACAUUGAGAUGGAUUUAGAAUAAAGCCAACGAGAAUAGGAUAAAUGAUUGAUGCAUUAUUUUAAGAAAAAGAGGCACAUAGAUUGAAAAUAAAAUGGUGGAGAACCAAACUUAGAUGGUACAUGAAGAGUUAAAGAAAGCCUUAGCAGUAAAAUGCUCAAUUUGUAUAGAACAGGUGCAGAGGAAGGGAAGUCUAAAAUUGUCUUUAUGGAAAUAGUGAGAGUGGAUAUAGAACAUGCGAUGAAUAAAAAAAUAAGCAUGCAGCAGCAUACAAAAGGAGGGGAAGUUGGACGACAUCAAGGAACAAUGGCAGGCCAAUGGGUAGACCAUUAAGAAAAUAUUACUAGUGCUAGCAAUAGUAGUCUAAGUCAAGUGAUUCUUAUGAUGACCUUAUACUAAUAUUCUAAUAGUUCAUAUUUCUUUGCACCUGUCGAGAUGAACUUACAGCUAAUGUUCAGGAAGGGGUUUUGCAGUUUGUGCAAAUUGUGAUAACUGAUUGGAUGGUGAUAGAUUAGAAUGUUAAAAUUAUUUUUGAACUACAAUUGUCUAUAAGUCACUUGAUCUAGAACAGAAUAUAUAUUUUGACAACAACUGGCCUGGGACAAAAUGAUGAUCAACAAAUACCCAACAGAAACAAUUAUUUUCUGUCUUUUCUCUAUAAUGAAAAUAAAUGCCUAUAUAGCCUAAGACAUCUCACAUAUCUAACAGAUAUGAGUAACUUGAUAAAAUGGAGAUGAUUUUGUUUGAGUAAGGUUUGCUUGUGAUGAUUUCUUAUGGUAGUGCUCUGUCAAUUUGCAUCUAAAAAUGCCUGUACUACUUUCCAAAUUUGUUGGUGAAUUAAGCUCGACUUGGUGACUGGAUAUGACCCCUAUAUUUGCAUUGGAAAUUAACUUGAUUCAUAUGGUUAUGUUUUAUCAUAUGAUGCAAAAAAUGAUUUACUCAAUAUUUGUUGAUGCAGUUGCCAAACCCAUGCAGAUGGGACAAGGCAUUACUGUUCAGAUGUGAUUAAUGACUCAGACUUACCCCUGGUGGUUUGAUCUGGCCUCCAAUGAAUGAAUUGCAGAAAAGCUCAUUUUUUGUCAUAUGAUUAUGCUUAGGGAUAUUAUAUGGAUGAUGAUUAUAUGUCUGCAUUUUGUGCAAUUGUCGUUCCUUAAUAGUCUUGAAUAAAGCUUACUCUUUAUGACUAUGGCGGUCCAUUUCAGAAGCACAGUGCUGUUCAAAAUAUACUGGUGAAUCAGAUUGCUCCGUUGACUUGAUUUGGCCUGAUUUAACUUGUUUUUGGGGCCUUGACCUGGUUACUGCCUAGGAAACCUCUAAGUCCAAAUCACACAGCUUGUGUUUUUCUUUCUUCAUUCAAUAAAUAAAACUACAAAAGAAAGAAAAGAAGAGAGGGAAAAAGAGCACCGAAGGUAAAAAGUGAAGUGAUAUUCAACACAACUCAUAAAAAAAGGGCAUUUGAGGAGCGUCAGAUGUACGCAUCCUUGCCCUUGAGUGUGGAAAGGCUGUUUCCAUGAUUUGAACCCGUGACACCCAGGUCACUAUAGAGCAACCUUGAAUUGUUUCGCCAAGGCCCACCCUAACAUAAAACUCAAAACCAUUUUGGUGAAUUCCUGGGACCAUGCAGGCAUGCUAUUUUCUUAUCAUUUAUAUGUAAAAACAUAUUUCCAGGUACAUGAAGUUUCAUUAAAAGUAUCUUUAAAUUUCUUGAAAUUUCCUUGACAUAGCAAACAAGCACGCUGAUUAUGAUUGAACAUUGAAUGGUAUCUUCCUCUUUUUUUUUUUGAAAAUUAUUCAUUAUCAUGCACCGGUUGCCUUUAAAAUGCUCAAUUUUCUAAGAUUUAGUAAAUCAUAAGCUAGGAUGUGUUUAAGAAAUAUUUCAUAUAUGUUGCAUACCAUAGCAAAUAAAUCUUUCAUGCAGUUUCUACAUGUUUGUGCUAUUUGCUUAGAAUUUCUCGAUUUUUUUUUCUAAUUUAACUAAUUAUUUUUGAUCCAAAAAAUAAACCCAGUGAAAAUGAUAGUUUAAGUAGUAUUGCUGAAACCAGACAGUUGGGACAAGGCAUGCUUGCUAUGAUUAUGACAAGGAUUGGUGCACUCCAAUAAGGUUCACAAUGUACUAGCUAGCGCUGUGGUAUCUCAACCAUGUCUAGUUUUUUUCCUGGGCACAACCUCUUGCCCAAUCUAUUUGGAUCUGUAUAUUGGUUAGUAAGAAGUGUCAAAGUUAUAAGACGGCUGUCUUAUAACACUGAGGGUGGCUAUAAUAAAUAUUUGAGAGAUUUUGGUGAGAACUGAGUAUCAAGAAUGACAGGAGGUUGCAGCAAUUGACUUGCUGGAAAUAUGAUAAUUAUGGUUUAGGUUUUGUCUAAUGAAUAUAAAGUGGCUUCAUGAGGAUAGGAAUCAUAGGACUGAUGUUUUCCUUUUCUUUGUCGGUAAGAGAAGAGCUUUGAGGGGAAAAUCUAAAUAUAGGGAAUGUUAUAUGAGAUGAUUUUAAAAGUAGAACUAAGGCUGGUGAUCUAUUUGUUAGGAAUAUACCUCAAGGAAGACUGAUUUUGGGCCCCAAAUAUUGGGGAAAAAAAUGUCGGUUGUGGCCGUAGUCAUUUAUUUUGUGCAUGUUUAAACACCAUUCAUUUGACUGAUUUGGUCAUCAAUCAUGCAUGCCCUGGUUAUUGGAGCUGAACCCUUGAUAGUAGCAUC